GGGGGCGAUACGGUUUCGACGGGGGGACUUGCGGGUGUGACCCGCGUGCCGAGGCCCGGAACCUCGUAAUAAUCCGGACCCUUUAUAGUUGCCAAUGACAACUAUGCCAUGGCCGCGUAGAGUACGUGGUCCGCUUCGCCUGACCUUGUUGGUGGGUCAGGGUCGAAGUGUCACCUUAGCCGACUAGCCGAAGCGGAGCUUACCCAGGCGCUGCCAAGCGAAAUUAAAUUGGGAUCGGUCUGCCGGUACCCGGCCGUAGGGGGACCAACGACCUAAAAACAAAUCAUCGGCUACGCACGUAGACGGCACAUCCAAAGCCUUUCGGACGGGGGUUCGACUCCCCCCGCCUCCACCA
RNAcentral lists this transfer-messenger RNA (355 nucleotides) under Candidatus Lernaella stagnicola. It matches the Rfam family "transfer-messenger RNA". From Rfam's summary of the family: Bacterial tmRNA, also known as 10Sa RNA or SsrA, is named for its dual tRNA and mRNA-like properties. The record is from RNAcentral. Lineage: Bacteria; Candidatus Lernaellota; Candidatus Lernaellaia; Candidatus Lernaellales; Candidatus Lernaellaceae.